CCAGCGAUUCGGUCGGGGACUCUAGAGAUACUGCCCCGGUUAACGGGAGGAAGGUGGGGAUGACGUCAAGUCCUCAUGGCCCUUAUGCCCAGGGCUACACACGUGCUACAAUGGGCGGUACAAAGGGUAGCGAUGCCGCGAGGUGAAGCCAAUCCCAAAAAGCCGUCCACAGUUCGGAUUGGAGUCUGCAACUCGACUCCAUGAAGCCGGAAUCGCUAGUAAUCGUGGAUCAGCAUGCCACGGUGAAUACGUUCCCGGGCCUU
This 263-nucleotide ribosomal RNA is filed under the name uncultured Desulfobacterium sp. RNAcentral's name for it is "partial 16S ribosomal RNA". It matches the Rfam family "Bacterial small subunit ribosomal RNA", at positions 1118 to 1382 of the family's 1533-position model. Lineage: Bacteria; Pseudomonadati; Thermodesulfobacteriota; Desulfobacteria; Desulfobacterales; Desulfobacteriaceae. The record is from RNAcentral.